AACCCACGGGACCAACACACGAAAAAAUAAUUCCCUAAGAGAAAAGAUUAUAAGGUGAUUACCGACUCCACUGACUCGACCUCUCUUAACCUCUUAAGAAUCUCGCGCAAUCCUUCGGGUUGUCCACGCUCUCACGUUCCGAAUCCACNACAAAUCUCAAUGCGAUAAAAAUAAAUGCGAAAAAUAAAAAUCACACCGAGAUUUACGUGGGAAAACUUCAACUUGGAGAAAAAAACCCACGGGACCAACACGUGAAAAAAUAAUUCACUGAGAGAAAAGAUUACAAGGUGAUUACCGACUCCACUGACUCGACCUCUCUUAACCUCUUAAGAAUCUCGCGCAAUCCUUCGGGUUGUCCACGCUCUCACGUUCCGAAUCCACGAACGCCACGUUCCGAAUCCACGAAACGCCUCCACUCCGAAUCCACGAAGCUCACGAUCCGAAUCCACGAACCGCCAUCAAUCACGCCGAAUCCACGACGCCGUCAUGAAGAACAUCAUGUGUAUGGUGAUCCUUCGCUUAGAGUGUUGUAGAAAACCAGAGAAGAAAACUCCAAGCGAAGCGUAGAUCAAAUCGACAUAUUGAUAUUA
RNAcentral lists this long non-coding RNA (590 nucleotides) under Ananas comosus (pineapple). RNAcentral describes it as "long non-coding RNA (ACOM_LNC036199)". Lineage: Eukaryota; Viridiplantae; Streptophyta; Magnoliopsida; Poales; Bromeliaceae. The record is from RNAcentral.